RNAcentral lists this ribosomal RNA (500 nucleotides) under uncultured bacterium. RNAcentral describes it as "partial 16S ribosomal RNA". It matches the Rfam family "Bacterial small subunit ribosomal RNA", at positions 30 to 523 of the family's 1533-position model. The record is from RNAcentral.
AUUGAACGCUGGCGGCAUGCCUUACACAUGCAAGUCGAACGGCAGCACGGGAGCAAUCCUGGUGGCGAGUGGCGAACGGGUGAGUAAAGUAUCGGAACGUGCCCAGUCGUGGGGGAUAACGUAGCGAAAGUUACGCUAAUACCGCAUACGAUCUAUGGAUGAAAGCGGGGGAUCGCAAGACCUCGCGCGAUUGGAGCGGCCGAUAUCAGAUUAGGUAGUUGGUGGGGUAAAGGCUCACCAAGCCGACGAUCUGUAGCUGGUCUGAGAGGACGACCAGGCACACUGGGACUGAGACACGGCCCAGACUCCCACGGGAGGCAGCAGUGGGGAAUUUUGGACAAUGGGCGCAAGCCUGAUCCAGCCAUGCCGCGUGCAGGAUGAAGGCCUUCGGGUUGUAAACUGCUUUUGUACGGAACGAAAAGGUUUGGCUUAAUACGUUGAACUCAUGACGGUACCGUAAGAAUAAGCACCGGCUAACUACGUGCCAGCAGCAGCCGCAG